UACGUAGGGUGCAAGCGUUUGUCCGGAUUUAUUGGGCGUAAAGAGCUCGUAGGCGGUCUGUCGCGUCGGAUGUGAAAACCCAGGGCUCAACCCUGGGCCUGCAUUCGAUACGGGCAGACUAGAGUAUGGCAGGGGAGACUGGAAUUCCUGGUGUAGCGGUGAAAUGCGCAGAUAUCAGGAGGAACACCGGUGGCGAAGGCGGGUCUCUGGGCCAAAACUGACGCUGAGGAGCGAAAGCGUGGGGAGCGAACAGG
Molecule: ribosomal RNA, 254 nt
Filed under: uncultured bacterium
Lineage: Bacteria
Description: partial 16S ribosomal RNA
Rfam family: Bacterial small subunit ribosomal RNA
Source: RNAcentral